RNAcentral lists this ribosomal RNA (433 nucleotides) under uncultured Oscillospiraceae bacterium. RNAcentral's name for it is "partial 16S ribosomal RNA". It matches the Rfam family "Bacterial small subunit ribosomal RNA", at positions 341 to 792 of the family's 1533-position model. Lineage: Bacteria; Bacillati; Bacillota; Clostridia; Eubacteriales; Oscillospiraceae. The record is from RNAcentral.
ACGGAAGGCAGCAGUGGGGGAUAUUGCACAAUGGAGGGAACUCUGAUGCAGCGACGCCGCGUGUGGGAAGACGGUCUUCGGAUUGUAAACCACUGGCUUUGGGGACGAUAAUGACGGUACCCAAGGAGGAAGCUCCGGCUAUCUACGUGCCAGCAGCCGCGGUAAUACGUAGGGAGCGAGCGUUGUCCGGAAUUACUGGGUGUAAAGGGAGCGUAGGUGGAAAGACAAGUUGGAUGUCAAAUAUAUCGGCUUAACUGGUAUCCGCAUUCAAAACCGUUUUUCUUGAGUGAAGUAGAGGUUGGUGGAAUUCCUAGUGUAGCGGUGAAAUGCGUAGAUAUUAGGAGGAACAUCGGUGGCGAAGGCGACCAACUGGGCUUAAACUGACACUGAGGCUCGAAAGCGUGGGGAGCAAACAGGAUUAGAUACCCUGGUA